Molecule: ribosomal RNA, 289 nt
Filed under: Escherichia coli
Lineage: Bacteria; Pseudomonadati; Pseudomonadota; Gammaproteobacteria; Enterobacterales; Enterobacteriaceae
Description: partial 16S ribosomal RNA
Rfam family: Bacterial small subunit ribosomal RNA
Source: RNAcentral
UUAAAUUGAAGAGUUUGAUCAUGGCUCAGAUUGAACGCUGGCGGCAGGCCUAACACAUGCAAGUCGAACGGUAACAGGAAGCAGCUUGCUGUUUUGCUGACGAGUGGCGGACGGGUGAGUAAUGUCUGGGAAACUGCCUGAUGGAGGGGGAUAACUACUGGAAACGGUAGCUAAUACCGCAUAACGUCGCAAGACCAAAGAGGGGGACCUUAGGGCCUCUUGCCAUCGGAUGUGCCCAGAUGGGAUUAGCUAGUAGGUGGGGUAACGGCUCACCUAGGCGACGAUCCCU